Molecule: long non-coding RNA, 1951 nt
Organism: Mustela erminea (ermine)
Lineage: Eukaryota; Metazoa; Chordata; Mammalia; Carnivora; Mustelidae
Exons: 2
Source: RefSeq, a predicted model, not a curated record
UGCCCAGGCGGGUGCCCAGGCCGGUGCCCCGGCCGGUACCCCGGCCGGUGCGGAGCGCUGCGGCCCGCCGGCCCCCGCCCCAGCCGGCCGGGAUCGGGACGGUCAGCGCCCCAGGACGUGCGGACGCGGGCGGCCGACGUGCACCCAGGUGCUCAGGGGAAAAGUGUUGAAAUCAACCGACGUCAUCCUUAAAUAUUAUUUCUUGGUUUUCGUUUGAAGUCAGUGACACAGAGCCCCCACGAUGCUCCAAGAGAGAUCCAUGAAGGCAGAAUCCAGUGAUUCCUGGCCGAUGGAAGAGCUAGCUCAGUGCCUGCACACAGUCAGACCUCAACAAAUGGGCAGUGACUGACCAGUUGAUAGUCACACUCACCUAUUCCCUGGGGCUUGGGCAUGUGCAGGCAACAGGACUGGGUCCGUGCAUUGGGCAGCGUCGAUACUCUGUGGGUGAUAUGCAGAGCCCCUUGCCUCCCACUGUCCCGAGUUCCUGACCUAAAAAGCAAGGAGUCUAGCUGCCAGAUUCCAUCCGAAGCCCCCUCCCUGCAAGCCCCCAACCUCCAUAGGAGAUGCACGCUGGUCGCGUCUCCACGGAUGGAUCACAAGUUGUCCUUGAUGUCACUGGAUCCAGACCUUCCAAAGGACAAGCCAGGCCCCUCCUGGGCCACACGGGUGGAGAGCCCACUCACUGUGGCAAAGCACAGUGCUGGGAGCUGGGGUUGUAGUGAACGGCAGUGGACUGCCGUGCGCUUUCGUCUCUGCUCCCAGUGCCUGAAGUCUCCCCCUGAGCUGAGAGCAGAAGGACAGAGCUGGCUGCCCCCAAAGGAAUGCCAUCAAGUGGCAAAGUCCCUGCUGCAGGAGGGGAACGUGGGACUGAUGGCGGCCCCGGGAGAGGUCCCCCACACCACCCUCUUCCAGCACUCCUGCCCCUUCUGGGGGACAUGCCUGGAGCUGGGUGGUCUCCUCCUUGGCACGCUCCCCAGUGGAGAGCCCACCAGCCUCUGCCCAGCCCCCAUCUUGCCCCACUCCAGCACGAAAUGGUGCACGAACCCAACACCCUCUACCCUCCAAGAGGGCAGGGUUCAUUCCUGUUUUGCCCAUCACUGUGCCCAGUGGUUUACUGGUAAAUGUUUAACUGUCAGCUGACUGAAAGAGCAUUUGGCUUCUCCGGUGGAAAUACUCCCCCCAUGGCAGUUUUCAGGCUCCCGAAGCGCAUCACUGAACAGAAGUUGGGAAAAGAUGCCACCCAUUAUAGGGUAUGUCUGCCUGCAGAUACGGAGUGCCAGGAUCACACCGCAAACAGUGGCUGAGGGGCCAGGUUCCCCUUGUGGCUGGCAAAGCAUAAAAUACCAUCUGGCCCUUUCACACAUUUGGAGACCCCUGCAAUAGACAUCACCUUCAGAACAGAGAUACUAAUAGAAAUAGAAUAAUUAGGAAGUGAUGAGUUCUGGUACCUUUUAAAAAUAUAAUUGUACAGUGGCUAACUGAACAUAAUAAAAAAUAUGUAUGUAUACAUAAGUGUAGCUUUAUAUCAUUUAAGCUUGUUUAGUGGCUGUUUGACAGCCAACUGGAAAAAUUGAAAAACCAACAAGCAGCUCUCCUGAGCCCGUGUAGGGUCAGCUCCAGUAAGCCUGUGUCUAGGGCCUGGCCCGGAGGAGAAACACAGCAUUGAAUAGCUGGAAAUCAAUGCCAACAUUCGAACUGCUAGGCCACACUGCCCUGCUUCCUUCCUUCCUUCCUUUUUUCUUUUGAUACCAUUAAACACCUACCUAUUUGUGCCUCCAGAGGGCCAAGGACUUUGCCAGGUUCCGUUGGUUCUUCUUUAUCUGCAGGGGAUACAUUCCAAGACCCCCACACAGAUAGUACCAAACCCCAUAUAGACUGUUUCUCCCCACACACAGAUACCUAUGAUAAAGUUUCAUUUAUAAAUUGGGCACAGUGAGAGAUUAACAACAAU